UGCUGGUGGAGUCUGAAGUUGUCAUGCAGUGACUCAUGCAAGCUUAGGCAGAUUUGGUGAUAUAUGACACAGAGAUGCAAAGAAAUGUUGUAGCUGACACACACCGGCUGGCUCUGGGAGAUGCAGAAGGAGCACGUCACCCAAAAUAGAGCCAGACAGACAUCCUUAAGGAAAGAGCCAAGGGGCUGCAUCUUAAAGAAUGAAGAAAGGAUUUGUCAUGAGAGAUGGG
Molecule: long non-coding RNA, 229 nt
Filed under: Homo sapiens (human)
Lineage: Eukaryota; Metazoa; Chordata; Mammalia; Primates; Hominidae
Description: HSALNT0263171
Source: RNAcentral